Molecule: ribosomal RNA, 508 nt
Filed under: uncultured bacterium
Lineage: Bacteria
Description: bacterial SSU rRNA
Rfam family: Bacterial small subunit ribosomal RNA
Source: RNAcentral
GAUGAACGCUAGCGGGAGGCUUAACACAUGCAAGUCGAGGGGCAUCACGAGGUAGCAAUACUUUGGUGGCGACCGGCGCACGGGUGAGUAACACGUAUGCAACCUUCCCUGUACAGGGGGAUAACCCGGAGAAAUUCGGACUAAUACCCCAUGAUGAUAUUUAUGGGCAUCCAUUAAUAUUUAAAGCUCUGGCGGUACAGGAUGGGCAUGCGCGACAUUAGCUAGUUGGUAAGGUAACGGCUUACCAAGGCCACGAUGUUUAGGGGACCUGAGAGGGUUGUCCCCCACACUGGUACUGAGACACGGACCAGACUCCUACGGGAGGCAGCAGUGAGGAAUAUUGGUCAAUGGGCGCAAGCCUGAACCAGCCAUCCCGCGUGAAGGAAGAAUGCGCUACGCGUUGUAAACUUCUUUUCCAGGGGGAGAAUAAUCCUGUCGUGACAGGACUUGACGGUACUCUGGGAAUAAGCAUCGGCUAACUCCGUGCCAGCAGCCGCGGUAAACACGG